AAUGUAGCAAUACAUGGCGUACUGCUCAGUAACACGUGGACAACCUACCCUCAGGACAGGUAUAGACCCGGGAAACUGGGUAUAAUCCCUGAUAGUCCUCGAACGCUGGAAUGCAUCGAGGACGAAAGCUCCGGCGCCUGAGGAUGGGUCUGCGGCCUAUCAGGUAGUAGUGGGUGUAACGUACCUACUAGCCUACGACGGGUACGGGUUGUGAGAGCAAGAGCCCGGAGAUGGAUUCUGAGACACGAAUCCAGGCCCUACGGGGUGCAGCAGGCGCGGAAACUUUACAAUGCCGGCAACGGCGAUAAGGGGACCUCGAGUGCCAGGUUACAAAUCUGGCUGUCGUGAUGCCUAAAAAGCACUACAUAGCAAGGGCCGGGCAAGACCGGUGCCAGCCGCACGCGGUAACACCGGCGGCUCGAAGUUGUUAACCGUUAUUAUUGGUGUCUAAAGGGUCUGUAGCCGUGCCGGAUAAGGUCUCUUUGUGGAAAUCCAGCAGCUCAACUGUUGGGCUUGUCAGGAGAUACUGUUCGGCUCGAGGCCGGGAGAGGUGAGUAGGUACUUCAGGGGUAUGGGGUGAAAUCUUGUAAUCCUUGAAGGACCACCAGUGUCGUUAGGCGUCUCACCAGAACGGACCUGACUGGCAAGGGUACAGAAAGUCUAGGGGCACGAACCGGAUUAGAUACCCGGGUAGUCCUAGCCGUAAACGAUACUCGCUAGUUGUCGGCCACGGUGCGACCGUUGCCGGUGCCGUAGGGAAGCCGUGAAGCGAGCCGCCCUGGGAAGUACGGCCUGCAAGGCUGAACUUC
RNAcentral lists this ribosomal RNA (809 nucleotides) under uncultured Methanosarcinales archaeon. RNAcentral's name for it is "bacterial SSU rRNA". It matches the Rfam family "Archaeal small subunit ribosomal RNA", at positions 61 to 857 of the family's 1478-position model. Lineage: Archaea; Methanobacteriati; Methanobacteriota; Methanomicrobia; Methanosarcinales. The record is from RNAcentral.